Molecule: long non-coding RNA, 837 nt
Filed under: Salmo salar (Atlantic salmon)
Lineage: Eukaryota; Metazoa; Chordata; Actinopteri; Salmoniformes; Salmonidae
Description: lncRNA (ENSSSAG00000112624.1)
Source: RNAcentral
CCUAUUUCCUGUACAUCUCUCUGACACACACACACACACCUUUUCUCUACACACUCUCUCACACACACAUUCACUCUCUCUACACACACUUUCUCCAUCUCACACUCUCUAUGUACACACUUCCUGUCUGAUAAAUAACUGUGUCAGGAAUAUCACCUAUCAUGGUGGGCUACUGUCCCAUCUGUGGGAAACCCGUCUACUUUGAGAAAAGGACCACGAGCUGAAAACUUUCCACUCAAUUGAACCAAUCGCUGCUCGUAUGUCCUUUCAUGGUAAAGUACAUCGAGUCAUGAACACGGAAAUACGCAGCAAAGACCUUGUUACUCAAAGACCCAGCUACUCUCUGACAGUCACCAUCAGACCAUCAGACCACCAGAUGGACAGGCUGUGUGUUUCUCUGAUUGCAUUCUUAUGUGCUGUUUCCGCCAGUCAGGAUGGGAUCUCUGCAGCAGAGGUGGAGCUGAGAGUCAGACCAGGAGACAGUGGUCAAUCAAUAAUUCAAACCUUCAUUCCAAUACUCUUGUAAACUAAUGUAGAACAUGUUAAAUUGACAAAUCAAUAUCAGAUGUAUUCUUUUUUUUGUGUUUUAAUGGUGAUAACUCUUCCUCUGCAGCUGCAACUGAGACCACGACCAGGGGAAGUGAGAGAAAGGAGAAAGUAUAGUCAGAUUGAGAUUUGUAGUUUUUUGACUGGCGGCCAUCUUGCUUUGUAGUCCAUGUUAUUUGUAAACCAGUACUAUUCAAAGCAUUAGCGAGUAUACUCAUUAAAAACUAAAGGAAUAAGCAUCAUGAUAUGAUUAAUUUAAAGAAAUAACCACAAUGUACGACUAUAUAUCAG